GGCAGUUCUCAGGUGACACACCCCGGAAUUGGGCUCCCUUCUCUCUGGUUCCAGGUGCAUCACCCGAGAACCGCA
Molecule: non-coding RNA, 75 nt
Organism: Myotis brandtii (Brandt's bat)
Lineage: Eukaryota; Metazoa; Chordata; Mammalia; Chiroptera; Vespertilionidae
Source: Rfam